Molecule: long non-coding RNA, 318 nt
Filed under: Salvia miltiorrhiza (redroot sage)
Lineage: Eukaryota; Viridiplantae; Streptophyta; Magnoliopsida; Lamiales; Lamiaceae
Description: long non-coding RNA (SMIL_LNC012166)
Source: RNAcentral
AUAAGUGCUUUUUCUCCGUGUUUCCAAUUCUUUGACUUUCUUUUAGUUACUUCUAUUUCUUGCGUCUUCCCUUAAAUGACUAACUUUCUGAGAACUUAUUUGCUUAUUUAUGAAGAUUUGAGGACUUCCAAUAUUGAUGGUGAUAACCUUGACGGUGUAGAAGACGUGGAUGAUGAAGGAUCGUCCUUUGUAACUCUUGAGGGGGGAUUAAAAAUCCCAGAAACUAUUUUUGGCAAACUUUUUGACUAUCAGAAGGUUGGUGUCCAAUGGUUAUGGGAACUUCAUUGUCAAAGAGCAGGUGGAAUAAUUGGAGAUGAG